Branchiostoma floridae (Florida lancelet) is the source of this 128-nucleotide non-coding RNA. The record is from Rfam. NCBI's taxonomy places the organism in Eukaryota, Metazoa, Chordata, Leptocardii, Amphioxiformes, Branchiostomatidae.
AGCAACAGCAAUACGGCCGCGUGGCGCGUUGGUACACCCGAUCCCUCGAUCUCGAAAGUUAAGCAACGCGCGGUCCGGAUAGUGCUUGGAUGGGGGACCAACCAAGGACGUCCGGAUUGCUGUAGCCU